GCUAAACCUGUUCUUUGUAAGAUAAUAUGAAGCUAAUCAUGUUAAACAAGGCUUGAUUCCUUUGCUUAAAUACAGUUUUGAGUAUAUUAAUCUAAAGCCUAAUGAUUCAAGCAUGUACAUCUCAGCAUUAAAUACAUAAAGAACAGAGAAAAGGUCAUGACUGUAAUGAUUCUCCAAGCUGGGGGGCACCUUUCGGCCUCUACCCCCACGAGACAUUUUCACGGGCAAUUGCAUCUCUUUGUUGUUUACGAAAAAGCCCAAACGGGCAUCUCACCAUCACAAGUCACUACCCCUUCUUUUUCCAAUUUUGUCACUUUCUUGGAUUGUACCUUCCCUCUUCUUUUUCUUCUUCAGCUAAAGAUUGUCAAAACCCUCUUCCAACUAGGCCAUGAGAAUUGUUGAUCAGAAGGUCAGAAUCAUUUUCUAGCAAAAAUGUUUGGUGGGGUAUACACAAUUACCAUACAACAAAAGAAUAAAAGAUUAGGACAUCGCAAUAAUGUUUGUUUGUGUGGAUGUGUCAUAAGCAUGGACAGAGAAGGAAAUAAAGAAUUGAAGGAGGGAAAAAAGUUGCUUUUGGUCUUGAAAUUUUUUUUUUUUUUUACAGUGCUUCUGUGGACAAAAUCAGCAGUAGUACCAUCACUCACCAGAAUGAUUACAUGUAUAAGACAGCUCAGGGAGACAUGGAGAUUGAAUAAAACAAGUAACCCCACAAGUCCACUACUUGCACUUGCUCACAUUUCAACAUUAUAUUGCAGAACUUGUUCUCCCUCUCCCCUUGAAAAUUUUUGACAAAACAUUUCAAGAGGGUUUUGCAGGAUUAACCUUUUAACACCAUCCCCAAACACCCCAGCAGAGGGAAAAUCCUAAAUCAAAACUAAUAUCUAAUAUAAUUGAAAGUAAGAAAAUAAAAAAUGGAAACAACUCUUGAUUACAUGUUAAUUGAUCAUGAUACGUAAGCCCUAAUUGAAUAUGGGACUUUUCUUGGCCGCUGAUGUGAAUCUUGAAGGCGAAGAAGCAAGAGGAAGUACCUGUGAAGUGGAUGAAUGGUACUGUGGAAGGUGGUGAUUUUGAUGAUUAAGUUCUAUUUCUCGGUUCUUAUCAACAUUGAUGGUGAUAAAGGAUCCAUCUUCCUCAUCUUUCUGAAAUUUUGAGGUAGCAUCCUUUUUCGCAUAAGCUUGAGCAAACCCAUCAUUCUUCUGGACCUUUUCCUCCACUUCUUCCCUCAGUUUUCUUCUGUAUAGUUUCUCCUCUGCAUCCUGCAAGAACUUGAAUUUUGGAGGUGGUGAUGACCUUAUCUUGUUAAAUUCUGCAUCUGCUGCUGAUUCAAAGAGAUGGUCCAUAGGAGUAAGAGGAGGUGUGAAAAAUGGUGGGGAAGCAAGAGGGGUUAGAUAUGGAGUUUCUAUAUUGAGAAGCAAAUCACUCAAGCUUCUACUUCUUGAACCUUUUGCACUCUUGUUGUCACCUCUAGAUUUGCCAUCUUCAGACUCUAAAUCCUCCUUUGUUUCUUCAAUAAUUGUGAAGAGAAAUCUUGGUGGACCUGAGAGACUAUUUAGCCUCAUAAGCUGUGUCUCCAUGGGAUCAUCACCUAAGGGCUUGAGCAAUAAAUCUUUGCUUGUAUUAUGAAGCCGAGAAUCUUGCUCAUGGUGGACAAGAGUAUCUGUGAUUCUUACUGAAGAGCAUAGUUCUUGAGAGUGCCUUAAAGAAGAUGGCUUUUUCAAACAGAACAUGUAAAAAAGCUCUCUUGCUGGGUUACUAUACUCAUCUCCAAUGUCUCUAUUGGUAAAUCUUCUCUUCCACCAUAGCAAGUAGUAAAGCUCAGCAACAAGAGCCAAUAGCAGGCAACCAAAAACUACACUCAAACCAAGUCCUACACUACUCAAAGAUUUCAUCUUUUGUUACCUAAUCAAAUCAAUGCUGCUUAAUAUGCACAAAGCUAUCUGUCAAAACUAGCUACAAACCAAUGCAGUUACCAUAAAUAACUUGGAAAAUCAAUCUCAGAAACUGCAAUAAGAGAAGCCAAUAAAGAGAGGGACAAGCUUACUGUGAGAUGCUGACUAGUCCCAAUCUUGCUAAACCCAAGAACCCAGAUCAAAAACUUUGACUGCAACCCAAAGAAACAACAAACUCACUGCUUCUUUUUAGCAAAUGCUUUGCAAACACAAACAUUUCCAACUUUAUCUGCCAAAUACAAAGCUCAGAAACAUAAGCACAUACAUGCCCACCUGCUAAUACCUAUCCAAAAAAGCUCUCUUUCUCUGAAAAUCACAUUCUGAAAUCAUGAAGCAUGAUCAUAAAAGCUUUUUUCUACGAUAAGCCCACAUGAUACUAAGCCACAUACUUGUGGAUGAUUACAUUAUUUUGGCAUAUUAUCUAUCAUUUUAGCCAAAACCCACAAAGCUAUCACAUGCAUUAGUAAAGAUUAAAGGACAUUAACAGCAAUUAAAACCACUGUGAGUUUGCCAAACUGCACACAAAAACAAGGAGCUUCUAGCUAAUAAAAACACAUACCAAUGGAUUGAGGAGGCAAAAGGGUCGGCAAAUUUUCUCACCUUUAUGGUUUGACAGGUCACAUUCUUCAAGGGACAUUCACAUGGGAUCACAAAUAAAAGGAAAUUGAUGUGUCACUGUUCUGUAUUUCUCCUCACUUACACUAUUGCCCCUUGGAACCCAAAAGCUCGUGCUUUAGGAACGUCAGGCACUCGAUAAACUAG
Molecule: unclassified non-coding RNA, 2711 nt
Filed under: Hevea brasiliensis (rubber tree)
Lineage: Eukaryota; Viridiplantae; Streptophyta; Magnoliopsida; Malpighiales; Euphorbiaceae
Source: RNAcentral